GAACGCUGGCGGCGUGCCUAAUACAUGCAAGUCGAACGGAAUUUAAGAGGGCUUGCUCUUUUAAAUUUAGUGGCGCACGGGUGAGUAAUAUAUAGCUAAUCUGCCCCUUGCUGGAGGACAACAGUUAGAAAUGACUGCUAAUACUCCAUACUCCUUUUUACCAUAAGAUAAAUCGGGAAAGAAUUUCGGCAAGGGAUGAGACUAUAUCGUAUCAGCUAGUCGGUGGGGUAACGGCCUACCGAGGCUAUGACGCGUAACUGGUCUGAGAGGAUGAUCAGUCACAUUGGAACUGAGACACGGUCCAAACUCCUACGGGAGGCAGCAGUAGGGAAUAUUGCGCAAUGGGGGAAACCCUGACGCAGCAACGCCGCGUGGAGGAUGACACUUUUCGGAGCGUAAACUCCUUUUGUUAGGGAAGAAUAAUGACGGUACCUAAC
RNAcentral lists this ribosomal RNA (437 nucleotides) under Campylobacter gracilis. Its description in RNAcentral is "bacterial SSU rRNA". It matches the Rfam family "Bacterial small subunit ribosomal RNA", at positions 31 to 483 of the family's 1533-position model. Lineage: Bacteria; Pseudomonadati; Campylobacterota; Epsilonproteobacteria; Campylobacterales; Campylobacteraceae. The record is from RNAcentral.